This 29-nucleotide small RNA is filed under the name Bombyx mori (domestic silkworm). Its description in RNAcentral is "ovarian small RNA-10146". The record is from RNAcentral. Lineage: Eukaryota; Metazoa; Arthropoda; Insecta; Lepidoptera; Bombycidae.
AAAUCGGAUCGUUGCGCCGCGGCAGGCGG